This 1354-nucleotide ribosomal RNA is filed under the name uncultured bacterium. RNAcentral's name for it is "bacterial SSU rRNA". It matches the Rfam family "Bacterial small subunit ribosomal RNA", at positions 19 to 1394 of the family's 1533-position model. The record is from RNAcentral.
CCGGCUCAGGACGAACGCUGGCGGCGCGCCUAACACAUGCAAGUCGAACGAGUGAGAGAGAGCUUGCUUUCUCGAGCGAGUGGCGAACGGGUGAGUAACGCGUGAGGAACCUGCCUCAAAGAGGGGGACAACAGUUGGAAACGACUGCUAAUACCGCAUAAGCCCACGGCUCGGCAUCGAGCAGAGGGAAAAGGAGCAAUCCGCUUUGAGAUGGCCUCGCGUCCGAUUAGCUAGUUGGUGAGGUAACGGCCCACCAAGGCGACGAUCGGUAGCCGGACUGAGAGGUUGAACGGCCACAUUGGGACUGAGACACGGCCCAGACUCCUACGGGAGGCAGCAGUGGGGAAUAUUGCACAAUGGGGGAAACCCUGAUGCAGCGACGCCGCGUGGAGGAAGAAGGUCUUCGGAUUGUAAACUCCUGUUGUUGAGGAAGAUAAUGACGGUACUCAACAAGGAAGUGACGGCUAACUACGUGCCAGCAGCCGCGGUAAAACGUAGGUCACAAGCGUUGUCCGGAAUUACUGGGUGUAAAGGGAGCGCAGGCGGGAAGACAAGUUGGAAGUGAAAUCCAUGGGCUCAACCCAUGAACUGCUUUCAAAACUGUUUUUCUUGAGUAGUGCAGAGGUAGGCGGAAUUCCCGGUGUAGCGGUGGAAUGCGUAGAUAUCGGGAGGAAUACCAGUGGCGAAGGCGGCCUACUGGGCACCAACUGACGCUGAGGCUCGAAAGUGUGGGUAGCAAACAGGAUUAGAUACCCUGGUAGUCCACACCGUAAACGAUGAUUACUAGGUGUUGGAGGAUUGACCCCUUCAGUGCCGCAGUUAACACAAUAAGUAAUCCACCUGGGGAGUACGACCGCAAGGUUGAAACUCAAAGGAAUUGACGGGGGCCCGCACAAGCAGUGGAGUAUGUGGUUUAAUUCGACGCAACGCGAAGAACCUUACCAAGUCUUGACAUCCUGCGACGGUUCUGGAAACAGAACUUUCCUUCGGGACGCAGAGACAGGUGGUGCAUGGUUGUCGUCAGCUCGUGUCGUGAGAUGUUGGGUUAAGUCCCGCAACGAGCGCAACCCUUAUGGUCAGUUACUACGCAAGAGGACUCUGGCCAGACUGCCGUUGACAAAACGGAGGAAGGUGGGGAUGACGUCAAAUCAUCAUGCCCUUUAUGACUUGGGCUACACACGUACUACAAUGGCGUUAAACAAAGAGAAGCAAGACCGCGAGGUGGAGCAAAACUCAGAAACAACGUCCCAGUUCGGACUGCAGGCUGCAACUCGCCUGCACGAAGUCGGAAUUGCUAGUAAUCGUGGAUCAGCAUGCCACGGUGAAUACGUUCCCGGGCCUUGUACACACCGCC